CCCUCCACCCUUAUCACUCAGUACCCACCUGACCCUACUUAUCUUCCAGAGGCAAUCACUGUUCUGGAUUCUCUCACCACGAGGAAGUCAAUUCAUGAGAGACUGCUCCACAAAGCUUGCUGGGGAGAGAAGAAGCGAACAGAUUCAGGAGGCAGAAGAGUAGAGUGAGACCUCCAUGUAAAUAUGUCCAAGCUGGCCCGCUUGAAGGAUGGUAGGCCAUGCAGAAGAAAACCAAGGCACCCAGAAGGACAUCCUGCCAACUGCGAGAUGUUUGAGUGAGACCAUUCUGUCAGCCAGUCACCAGCCAGCCAACCAGCUAAUGACAGAUGCAUGCAUAGGCUCCAGAGAGAUCAGCUGAGUUGUCCCAGACUACAAGAACCAGCCAACCCGCAGAAUUACAAGAACAAUAAAAGGUUGUUUUCUUAAGC
This is a long non-coding RNA of Homo sapiens (human), 428 nucleotides long. Lineage: Eukaryota; Metazoa; Chordata; Mammalia; Primates; Hominidae. The record is from Ensembl.